AAUCCUCAACCCCAUCCGUCGGUCAGGGCUUGGACUUUGGAGCGUGCUGGCGAAGGUCGGCUCCUCUUUAAAUGCAUCAGCGGAGAAAAACAAACCUUUUUUCCCCCUUCAGCAUGAUAACUGCGUUGCGCUGUGGUCGCGAAAGGGUCCGCUCAUAAUCAUCCUCGGACAAACACCGAAUCUG
This 184-nucleotide unclassified non-coding RNA is filed under the name uncultured Tylospora. Its description in RNAcentral is "sequence contains ITS2". The record is from RNAcentral. Lineage: Eukaryota; Fungi; Basidiomycota; Agaricomycetes; Atheliales; Atheliaceae.